This 254-nucleotide ribosomal RNA is filed under the name uncultured bacterium. RNAcentral's name for it is "partial 16S ribosomal RNA". It matches the Rfam family "Bacterial small subunit ribosomal RNA", at positions 524 to 776 of the family's 1533-position model. The record is from RNAcentral.
UACAGAGGUGGCUAGCGUUGUUCGGAUUUACUGGGUGUAAAGGGUACGUAGGCGGUUUAGAAAGUCGGAUGUGAAAUCCCAGGGCUCAACUCUGGAACUGCAUCCGAAACUACUAGGCUAGAGUAUGGGAGAGGUAGAUGGAAUUCUCGGUGUAAGGGUGAAAUCUGUAGAUAUCGAGAAGAACACCAGUGGCGAAGGCGAUCUACUGGCCCAAUACUGACGCUGAGUGUACGAAAGCUGAGGUAGCAAACGGG